Ziziphus jujuba (common jujube) is the source of this 4020-nucleotide RNA transcript. It is a transcript of the gene named probable ATP-dependent DNA helicase CHR12, with no coding region annotated. Lineage: Eukaryota; Viridiplantae; Streptophyta; Magnoliopsida; Rosales; Rhamnaceae. The record is from RefSeq and is a predicted model, not a curated record. The transcript has 3 exons.
AGUUUCUAGCCUACGUUAGAGGCCACCAAAAUGAGGGCGGGACAGAGACAAUCGGACAUACCAGAAAGCACGUCCUCGCUUUAGAGAAGCGAUAUCAAUCAUCCUUCUAUAUACAUGUCAACAGAUUCCUUUACAAACUUUACUCUCUCAGAUCAGCUAUGAGUCAUAUCAUUUCUUAGAAGUAGUUUCUAGAAUUAUUUAGAAUACAGAAAAAGGAAAUGUAAACCCACUCACUCAGAGCUCCUGAACCUGCUCAUCAACUCGCCGCUGCUUAGCUGCCUCUUCAUUUCGGUCCUCUUUCUGAAUAGUUUCCUCAGCUAUCUUAAAAUCUUCAUCCUUUUGAACAGAUUUAUCCUUUUUGGAAUAAAGAGCUUCCCAGCAAGCACUCUAUUUCUUAGUAAUUUUCUCCAUCUUUAAACAUUUUCAAGAAGUUUCGUCUUUCAUAUCAGCAAUAAUAGUCAUGUAAGAAACAAGCUAUUCCUGUUUUUCUGAGGACAAAACCUUUUGAGAAGAAUUUGUUUCUAUGACUGUUUUUGUUGAUAUAAAGAUGAAACUUCUUGAGAAUGUUCAAAAGUGGAGAAAAUCCCUGGAGAUAGAAUGCUUGUUGGAGAAGCUCUUUAGAGGAUGAGAACGCAUCUAAUGAGGAUCCAAAAGGAAGUGAGAAAGCUAGUUAAGAGGAUAAGGUCCUUAAAGAAACGGCUUGUUCCUUGCAUGACUGUUUUUGCUGAUAUGAAGACGAAACUUCUCCCUCCCGGCCUCUUCGACACCGCUUCUUCUAUCUAUUACAACGGAGAUGAUGGCAUUAGCGGCCCCUUUCAUGGGGGGGACGCCAAUGGAUCUGAUAAGAAUGGUUUGGAUGAUGUGUUUUGGUUUUUUGGUUUGUUUGCUUGAAAUUGGUGUUUUUGGUUUUUUUGUGGAGUUGGGAAAUGCAGUGUUAUGUGAAACUUUUUGAAAUUUGGAGACUUUUUGUUCAUCGUUUUCUCUGGCAAUUAUUUAUAAGGAAAUGGACGGGGAAUUUCGGUAAUGGGUUUCUGUGGGUUUGAUGGUUUCUUUUUGUUAUUUUUAUGCCACUUGUUGCGGGUAAUCUUUGUUUUGGAUUGGAUUGGCUGUUCUACUUUUGUUUUUGAAAAUAUAGCAAUAGGUUAUCUUGAACGAACUUCAAGUGCUUCAGAUUUUUGUAUAUAAUUUUCACUUCUUUCUAAUUUGUCAUUCUGUAGUUGUAUACUGCUGACGUAAUAAUUUUUAAGCUGCUAUAUUAUUCAGAUUAAGUUUUAUUUGUGAUUGGAGAUGUUUGGAUUUUUCUGUACUAAUUUGGUAGAUUUUAUUUUUCUUUUAUGAAAAAUUGUUAAAAUGUUUUAAUUGAAAGCCAUGAUGUGUAAAGGUUUCUUUUUAUUACCAAGUUUGUCUUUUCUAAUGUAGCAAUUCUAAUAUUUGUUUCAAUAUUCACGAGAGGAUGAUAAUGGAAAUAUUUCUGAGGAAUAUUUAUUAACAGAACUUGAAGAUGCAUUGCUGAAGCAACGGCCAAACUGUGUGUCGGGUUUUGAAUUGACAAAAUCAAGGGACCAUCGUUAUCAAAUCCACAUUCAGCAUCGAUUAAAUGAACUUGAAGUUGGGGUAGGGAAUCGAAGGAAUAUUCAGGUGGCUUUGCUCUGGACCAUGUCAGCUUCAGUAUGUCAAAAAAAGACCAUCAACAAUAACAUGGUUCAUAUGCGGAGAAAGGCAAAGUUGGUUCAAAAGAAGAAAGAGAAAGGGUACACACGUAUGCCAAUGCUUUACCAAACUCUAAAACAAUUUUCGUUUUACACAAAACGGUGGAGAAACUAUCAUGAACUUUGAUGUCUCUUAUACUGGAAGAACUGAUACAAGGCUUAAACAUUACUUUCUUAACAUUGCUUAACAAUGAAGCAACCCUUAAGCGUGGAUGCAAUUUCAUUUCUUCGUCUUGGAGUAGUUACACCAUGGCUAGACAUGUUGUAAUUCUAGCUUUGAUUAUUCACCAUGUGGACUCGCUUUUUCGUGCUUUCUUUUAACUACUUUUAACCAUAUAUCAACACUACAUGCUUAAGCAGGUGACAAGUAGCCCCAGCUCUUCAAGUUUACUUCUUCAUAAAGUAGUCUCCAAAACCACCUUUAGCUUGCUCUUCUACAACACUUACGUUAAGCUGGAUAAAACAUAACAAAAACACACCCUUUGGCUUUGUAAUGCUAGCCUGAGGUUUACAAGCUUCUUACACUAAAAAUUGUCACAUCUCCAACACAUAUUCCACGGUACUUUUAGAAUGUGGAAUGUAAAGUAAUCAUAAAACUUAGAAAAUGAGAACGACAUAAGAUGAGCAUUAUAUAUCGAUGCCUACACAAAUGUUUCAGAUUUGGUGUGGGCAUUCACACAAAGAGCAGUAGUAUUUCCUUAUUGAUUUUUGUUUUCUUUUCAAAACGGUUUGUAUAUCUCUGAAAGUAUAUGAUAUGGACAAGGCUAACUAUGAGUCUAUGGACACCACCAGUAGUUUCAAGAGGAAUUUGUAGAAAAAGAGGAUGUUGGAUUGAAAGCCUUCUGCUCAGAACAGGUGAGGACUUCAUGAGGCUGUGCCUCUUCUCUUCCAACGCCCAUAAGAUCAAGACAAUAAAAGUAAUGCAAGAUGAUGUUGUUGAUGGCUGCAGCUGAGCCAAGUGUUGCUAAGGCAGGGAUGACUUCCAAAUAACCCUUCUUAGGGUACUUAAAUCUGUCACAGAGGAGUCAACUGUAAUCCUUGAAAGCCCUGACGUAAUUAUUCAUGAAAUUCUCCCCAGUUUGGCUGUUCCUAUUCACCAUCCUUAUUGCCUGAAAAUUUUGUGUGAAGUUAUGGUUGUCUUUUUGAAUGAACACUGUGAAGAUGGGCAAAGGUCAAAGGAUUUGGAGUCGAUAUCCAAUAAAUAAUUCCUCCCUCUCUACCCCUUCUUGACUGAAGAUGAGGAUCAUAUCCCCAUGUAUGCACAGAAGCUUCUUGUAAUGCUGAUUGAGUUUAGUUACGUAAAAAUAUUAGAUAUUUUACACCUUAAGACAAUUUCACAGUGCUUUGAGUUUUUGCUUGGGGAUCUCUCAAGUGCAUAUGUUAGUUACGUUAAGCUUUGCCUAGGUCUGGCCUCUUCUCCAGAGUUGUAUCCAAGUUACUUUCUCGGUUAAAGGUUGUUGGAAGGAUUGAAAAUCUUCUGGAGUUUGUAUAUGCCAAGGAUAUGGAAGAUUUCCUAGAACUAACCGUUGGCCUGUGUAAGGCUUUCUGUGAGCGGCAGGAAAGGCUUCAUCUACACAAAGAACCUGAUCUUUUAGGUAAUGGUUCUUCUGAAGUAAUGGACCAGUUGAUCAGCAACAAGGCUUAAGAGAUAUUAUGGACUUCGGAAGCAAUGGGGUCUUUGCUAGAGUUAAGUCCUUCCCAGGAAACAAAUGUGGCAGAUAUGGCUUCUGAAUGUGUUGACCUGCUGCUCAAGGCAGCUCUUAGGGAAGCUACUACCGGUCUGCUUGUCUAACCUUCAUAAGGUCAGUGCAAACAUCGAGUCAUGGAACAGGGGGAUUCCUCACUUAUUGGUGCAGCAGAUGCUACAUACUAUGCUAUUCAUGUAAGCAGUACCUGUCUCAUGCAAAGAUGUGGUCGAUAUCCAUGCCAGAGAUUUCAAAGAUUGAAUCAAUCGUCUCUAAGCUCAAAAGUUCUGGCAUAUCUGGUUUAGCCAAUGCUGCUUAGCUUGCUGCGGUGGAGUUACAGCGCCUACCUCGUUGCAUUUGAAAUCCUAGAUUUAUAUUUUGCACAAAUGAAAUUGACUCUUGAGAAGGGCAUGGAAGACAUGCUUCCUCAAUUCUUUAUAAGGUCAAUAAGGGAUGAGUUGUCAAAUUUUCUGCAUAGAAUAUUAUUAGCAUUCAUCCAUCCUCUUUUUGGGCUACCUUUGUAUAAUCCAUGUAUGCGAUGUAUAUUAGUUGACAUUAUUUGGGAAUAUCUUUGUUUUUCUCCCCCGAUUGAAACGUGCCGUAUGCUUUGCUAUCUUUUAAUCUUA